UAGCUCAGUUGGUUAGAGCGUGGUGCUGAUAACACCAAGGGCGCAGGUUCGAUCCCCGU
This 59-nucleotide transfer RNA is filed under the name Apaloderma vittatum (bar-tailed trogon). It matches the Rfam family "tRNA", at positions 8 to 63 of the family's 71-position model. From Rfam's summary of the family: Transfer RNA (tRNA) molecules are approximately 80 nucleotides in length. Their secondary structure includes four short double-helical elements and three loops (D, anti-codon, and T loops). Lineage: Eukaryota; Metazoa; Chordata; Aves; Trogoniformes; Trogonidae. The record is from Rfam by way of RNAcentral.